GGCGACAGAGGCCCCGAAGGCAGCCAUGGGAGGACCGAGCGGCUGCAGCGCGCAACCACAGCGCCGGAGCCUAUUCCUGCUCUGGUGGUUCCUAUAAAGCCUGGAAGAAGAGUUACCCCAAGAUGGUGUCAUCUGUGUCCAGCUUCUUCUUCAGCACAUCUGCUUGGUGUCAGCUGGGGUGGAUGUCAUGUUUAAGGCUGGGAUUGCUUACAGUUACAACUGGCAGCAGUUUCAUGAACAACAUCCCUUCCUGGACAAGAGGAGAAAAAGUUUGUGCACACACGCCUCAGGAGCUGAAGGCACAUGCAGGAAACCUCUGGACAUUUCUUCUCCCCACCGGUAUAGGAUUCUGUAGCAAUGGGAGCAAAGCAGAAAGAGCAACCUCAGCUCUCAUUUUGUCUGCCAGCAACAUCCGGCUCCCCUCUGUUUUCCACUGGCUAUCAGAUGCUCUGUGUGAUGGCAGAAUUGGGUGGUAAAAACUAACAUUGAAAAAUAAAACUUGGAGUUAUGGGACCACCAAAAUGAAUCACAAAACUGCAGAAUUCUUAUCUCACUGGACUGUGAGAGGGAAAAUUGCUGGGUUUUUCAGGAUGGCAAGUGAUGUUUGGCAUAUUUCAGCUCGGAGAAACGCUUCUUCUUCCACUUUGUUCUCCUGCUCAUAGUGGAUAAUUCACGUCACCUUUAGGGGAUUUUGUGAUUUUUAUUUACAAUGAAUAAGCUCAUAUUAUCAAGACUAAUUCCCAGCUACACGUAGUACUUCCACUUCUCCUGGAGACACAUGGAGGAUACCUGACUCAAUGGAGCCGAAAUGGUUCCCUGUGAUGUGCCUUUUCUGUGUUAUGAUAGCUCCCUUUUCUUCGGGGGCAUUGACACUGUCUGACUUAGGGAGAAGGCAGGCCAGAUGUGCUCACUCUGCAUGUCUGCCUCUCCCCAGGGAGAGGUAGGUAUCAUCUCCUGUUAACCACCCAUCUCCCUGAAAUCCCCUCUUUUUCCCUGUUCACCUCCC
Long non-coding RNA from Capra hircus (goat), 1006 nucleotides. The record is from Ensembl. NCBI's taxonomy places the organism in Eukaryota, Metazoa, Chordata, Mammalia, Artiodactyla, Bovidae.